Molecule: long non-coding RNA, 903 nt
Filed under: Anas platyrhynchos platyrhynchos (common mallard)
Lineage: Eukaryota; Metazoa; Chordata; Aves; Anseriformes; Anatidae
Description: lncRNA (ENSAPLG00000026365.1)
Source: RNAcentral
GUCAAGCUUCUUGCAAGAGAAAAGGAUUCAAAGGAAUUUAAAGGGCUGGUCUUCCCCUUUUUCCUUCUUCACAGAAUAGCCAGUGUGAGCUGCUAGGCAAAACUCUUAGAAUUAUUACUAGAGACUGAGCUAGAUUUGAUUUACAAUUUGAAGUCAUAGAUCCCCAACGUGAUACUUGAGCAAUAUUAUUUUAGAAGUAAUACCAAUCUUGGAUGCAACACAAUAAAUAAAUAAAUAAAUUAAAUCACAUGAUCACCCAGGAUUGUCUUAUUGGGGACCAUGGGAAGUUUGUUUCUUUAAUGACACCUGCUGGAAAGUCUAAAGUGCAUUCAGGAGCUGUGCUGCAGGACAUAGUUGAUGCUCACAUAAACUUUACGUUCCCCAUAUUCUGAAGAAUAUGAGAGUCCUGUACAUGGUGUGAUAGAAUGAGAAGCAGCUAGUGGCUGCUUGGGCAGGAAAGCUGUUGACUGUGAGCACCCUUGUCGAUGAUACAAAGAGAAAGAGCAGAGAAAGGAAGCUUCAAUGUGCUUUUAAAAUAGAGAUGAACUGUAGAGUGAAGCCUAAAGUAAUGGUAAUAUCCCUGAAUCCACCAUGAGAUAUUCUGAGCAGUAUCUUAAGAAAGCACAGUGCGAAUACUUUAUUGGAGUUUGUCUUGCACACAAAUCCAAAAUGUUUCACUGCCAGAGAGACAAAAAGCCAUGCCAUGCAGCCGUAUCUCAUAAUUCUGGAGUGUCAGGUUUGGUGAAAUAUUACUGCAUAUUAUUCCUACAGACUGCAGAUAAAAGGAGCAUACUGGGAACAAGUAAAAUGUCAGAUUCUUGCUUCAGGAGCUUACAGUGGUGGUCCCACCAUCAGGUACACGGGUACAAAUUCUUUGUGCAAGAGAUGAGUCUGAUUGUUUAG